Molecule: long non-coding RNA, 2772 nt
Organism: Panicum virgatum (switchgrass)
Lineage: Eukaryota; Viridiplantae; Streptophyta; Magnoliopsida; Poales; Poaceae
Exons: 5
Source: RefSeq, a predicted model, not a curated record
GGAACCAAUCCAGGAGAGGCGGCGCGACUCGAGGGCUCCCGGGCUCCUAGCGGCGCGGCGCGACUCGAGGAGAGGCGUGGUCCUGGCGGCGCGCGAGGCGACGGUGGGCGAAGGCAAGGGCGACGGCACGCGAAGGCGAGGGCUCGGCGACACACCGGCGGCGAGCUUCUCCUCGUCCGCCUUCUCGCCGGUAACGCGUCACCCUCGUCUUCUUUGCCUUCUUUUCUCCCUCGGGCGCUAGGGUUCUUGGCUUCUUCUUCUUGGUUGUGAGGUUAUAGGAGAUGUAUAGGAGGGGAGCAGGACGAGCAGGGAGGCAGAUCUGGAGAGAUGGGCUCCGACGAGGCAGAUCUGGAUGAGGCUGUGAUGGCGUCCGUGCAGAAGGUGGCCAUGGCGAGAGCUCCUUCCCGCCUUGGCUCACAAAUCGGGCACUCCUGAGAUGCUGGCGCUUGGUAAGUCGAUCAGCAGGAGCUACAGGUAGAGCUCUGCUUUUCUUCUCUUUUGUUUCGUAUGUAUAAUGAUGAUUGUUGAAUUGUGGAAUUACCUUUUUCCUAUUCUAUUCGCUACCUUUCAGAGGUGAAAAGUGGAUCUUAGAUAUUACCUUCUUGUAUAAAGUAGUUGAAGUUAAAUCUCAGUCUAUAUAUUUGUUGUUGUUUAUCCUUGCUUUGCAUAUUGCCUUAAUCUCCUAUAUAUAUCUCCUAUAUCUAUAGCCUUUUCAUCAUUAACAAGUCUGGUGGCUCUUGCUGUCCUGUGAGUAAAAUGUGUAAUACAACACUUCAGUCCAUCAUUACUCGUUUCUUAGAGACCUGAGUGAGAAUGAACUGGUAUGGCCGAUUCCUACUAUACUUGGCAACCUAUUAUACACUGGCAAACUGUUAGUAUCAUCAAUCAACUAUACUUUUCUUUCCCAAACCAUCUACCUUUUCUUUUAUUAAUGGUUUGUACAACCAUUCCUUUUCGGUUAUUUACAUGGCAACAAACUUACUGGACACAUACCGCCAGAACUGGGGAACCUGAGUAAACUUAGCUACUUGCAGCUGAAUGAUAAUGAACUAGAAGGAACCAUUCCAGCAGAGCUUGGCAAGCUCACAAAAUUAUUUGAAUUAAAUCUUGCCAACAACAAGCUUGAGGGUCAUAUUCCUGCAAACAUCAGUUCUUGCAGUGCACUGAACAAAUUGUAAGUUUGUAGGCAUGCAUUUAUCACAAGUUUCAAUAGAACAAUUAUGUGUUUCUCAUGCCUAAUCAUUUUAUUCUGUUCUCAGCAAUGUUUAUGGCAAUAGACUGAAUGGCUCUAUCCCUGGUCAGUUAGCAUGUUUGUAGUUUCAUAGUUUCAGUUUGGCCAAAUAUGGAACAACUCCUGUCAGCAAUUCACUUCAUUGUAAGUUGUAACAACCAUUGUUACCAAGCUGAUAUCGUGGAUUAGGAAACGUUACUUGUAUAACACAUUGUAUGCUUCAAAUUUAGUUUUCAACCAAGCAUGCCACAACUUGAGUUUUUUUAUUACUUCUGCGUCAUUUGUUUUCUGUCUACCACUAUUUCCUUUAUAUGCUGCCCUGCAUCCUACUCUUAAAGAAAGACUUUGCAUUUCCUUACCAAGUCACCGAGCCAUUCAACUUUUUGAUGAUGUUUUAAGAAAAGAGAAAUCUGACAGCUUCUUCUCGUGAUCACUAUGCAGCCUUAUUUUAGAUAAUCAGGACGAUGACCAGUGGCGGGUUGGCUUGAACUCAGCUAUGUUCAGAAGGGUGUCCAUCCAUGUGUUCGGGAGCUGGGAUGCAGUACCUGUGUUCUGCAGCAAACUUGUUCCCGGAUAAUGUCAUGUAGUUAAUGAUUCCUAGGCCAGGAACCAAACCAGACCAGGGUUGAGUGACACGGGUGGAAUCACUCAAACCAGGUCUGGAAUCAAAACAGGCCUGGAAUCGAAACUGGACUGCGGAACAAGGCCAAAAGGAGGAAGAGAGACAGACAAGGCUUCUUUUUUUCCUGGACAAAUCUGCUGAUGGGUCAUGGGCCUUCAUUAGACUCUCACCUAAAAAUAGAGCCCACAAUGGUAUGUCUAUACGUGCAAUCCCUGCUUGAUGCAUUUCAGAAAAAAAAACAUGUCUUCCAAUAACUUCUGAGAGCCUCCCAUUCUCAUUGCUCACUAUUAGCCUCCAUUCUUUUUUUUUCUCCUAUAAUAACAAAGUUCUUGACCGUCAUCGCUUUCUCCCCGAUAAAAAGAAAAGGCAACGCGAACAAAAAACAGGGAAGGCCAGAUCUCGGCCGUCUAGUUAAGAUCGAAUGGCAUGAGUCGCAUCCAGCUGUGCUGCCAUCCUCGCAAAAGUAAGAACCGGGCUUGCAUGCAACCUUCAGGAGGGGCCUCUUGCGGCGAUGAUGGUCGUCGAGGAGUCCGUGAAGAAGGUGGAAGAGAAGGCGGUGAAGCUAGGCAUGGUAGCCAAGGAUAUCGCCAGCGCCAUGGCGACCACGAUGGAGGAGAAGACGGCGCUCUAGGAGCCGGACCCCAAGACCGGGUACUAUCGGCCGGUGACCGGCACCAAGGAGGUGGACGCUGCCGACCUGCACGCCGAUAUGCUCUAGCAGAGGAUGCUGCAGGACAGAAGCAGCAAUCCCUUGUGCCUGUUGGUUUGGUGCAGGCGCGGUCUGUCCCUGAUUGAAGAUUACCCGGUGCAGAUGGCUGCCUAUUAUUAGUCAUCUUUAAGCUAGUCUCAAUGGGGAAUUCAUAGAUGAUUUUAUGGCACUAAAUAUUAUUAAUUUUGCUAACGUGACAAGGGAAGAGAA